Molecule: ribosomal RNA, 292 nt
Filed under: uncultured bacterium
Lineage: Bacteria
Description: partial 16S ribosomal RNA
Rfam family: Bacterial small subunit ribosomal RNA
Source: RNAcentral
GGAUUAGAUACCCUGGUAGUCCACGCCCUAAACGAUGAGUGCUAGAUAUUGGGAGAUUUUCUUUCAGUUUCGUAGUUAACGCGUUAAGCACUCCGCCUGGGGAGUACGGUCGCAAGAUUAAAACUCAAAGGAAUUGACGGGGGCUCGCACAAGCGGUGGAGCAUGCGGUUUAAUUCGAUGUUACGCGAAAAACCUUACCAACCCUUGACAUGGUGAUUUUGAAAGUAGAGAUAUUUUCUUCAGUUCGGCUGGGUCAUCACAGGUGUUGCAUGGCUGUCGUCAGCUCGUGCCG